Molecule: ribosomal RNA, 492 nt
Filed under: uncultured bacterium
Lineage: Bacteria
Description: partial 16S ribosomal RNA
Rfam family: Bacterial small subunit ribosomal RNA
Source: RNAcentral
GAUGAACGCUAGCUACAGGCUUAACACAUGCAGGUCGAGGGGAAACGGCAUUAAGUGCUUGCACUUUUUGGACGUCGACCGGCGCACGGGUGAGUAACGCGUAUCCAACCUUCCCAUGACUAAGGGAUAACCUGCCGAAAGGCAGACUAAUACCUUAUGGUCUUCACUGACGGCAUCAGAUGUGAAGUAAAGAUUUAUCGGUUAUGGAUGGGGAUGCGUCUGAUUAGCUUGUUGGCGGGGUAACGGCCCACCAAGGCAACGAUCAGUAGGGGUUCUGAGAGGAAGGUCCCCCACAUGGGAACUGAGACACGGUCCAAACUCCUACGGGAGGCAGCAGUGAGGAAUAUUGGUCAAUGGGCGAGAGCCUGAACCAGCCAAGUAGCGUGCAGGAUGACGGCCCUAUGGGUUGUAAACUGCUUUUGUAUGGGGAUAAAGUCAAUCACGUGUGAUUGUUUGCAGGUACCAUACGAAUAAGGACCGGCUAAUUCCGUG